UUCCGCCGCCGCUCGCCGCAGGAACGGGUGCAUAAGAGCUGCGCUCUAGAAGAAAUGUCGCAGUUUCGCUCGAAUGUAGAAGCAUUUAUUGCGAUAGCAAUUAGGCAGCAAUAAUAAGUAGGGAUAGUAGUUUUAUUGGCCGUGUAAACUUGUAAACAUUCGCUUAGUUACUAAAUUAACGCGCAUGGUGUCACGCGUGCACACUCUAACAUGAACGCAUCUCACUCCAUGACUACGGACACUCGCUGUCAGCGUGAGGAAGAGUGACAUCGAACGAGUUAACUUUUCUGCUGCCCGUCGGUUCAACGCGAACUAAGCGGCAGAAAUACAGCGCACACGAAGCUAACAGCCACCGGGCCACCUAGACACUGCACCCAUCGCAGAGGGCCUUCAAAAUAGGACCUGCGCGGCAGCGCUCAACCGCGCCAUUGCUCAGCCGCUGCCGGAGUGGGAAGCCUCCGCCUCCCCUCUCCCCCACUUGUGUCUUGCGUGCGAUGAAAGACGGCGCUUACACCCGCCUUCCCCCUUGCGCGCGCGAGCCACCAACCUCGGCUCACCCUUGCACCCAGAGCACAUGACGCGAGGUCACGAUUUUGUCCCACUUGUACUUUAAGGAAACAUCACGGCAACGGGGGAAAUGCGUCCGAAGUGUCUAUACCGCACUUAUAGAAAUUUAAUUGCUGUCGCAGUAAAAUUUUAAUACAACCCUACGUCAUCACGUACCAGGUCGCCGGUAUGCACAGCGUGGCGGAAGCAAUGACCCCGAAAGCAGCCCCAAUGUCACCUGUCGCCAUACGGGGUGGAAGAGCAGGGAAGCAGCGCCCAUUGCCUGAAGAGAAAAAGGCUCCGCUCAUGUCUUCGUCGCAAAGGAAAGCUUCGCAAGCAGCGGUGGCCGGCUCCUUAAUACAGCAAGACCGAAGUAUCCAAGCAAAAUUUUGGCAACCUCGGGCACAUAGACAACGCCAGUACAGCGCUUAUAGUUGAAAACAGCAUCUGUGGAUGUUAUUUGUUUUGCAUCUGUCUUGACCAUAAGCUUUCUUCGCUGGGAUAGCCUUACUGUCUGGCUGACGCCGUCUCUGCUUUUCUUGCUGCUGUGGGUCAGGCUUUAUCGCGAUACGGCAAGCGGCGUGCUGUCAUUCCUUCGAUUCAGUCUUUGUGUGGCGUGCGCGUUGGCUAUACUGUGGAUGAGUGCGCUCUGCCGUGGUGGGACCAGCGCCUGAAUAUUUCACGCCGACCUCGGUCUCUGCAACAUGGACGUGAAAUGUAUUCAAGGCUUACGGACGAGCGUGCCUCCCAGAACCGCCCCCAAGCGUGUAAAAGGAAUGGGCCGACUCGUUGGCAGCCCCUUCUUUUACAAGCUUUCCUGAAGUUUUAGAGGCAACCGAAGCCGAAGAUACAUGAAUCGACCCUUUGACAGACAAGCUGAUAACAAGCCGCAUCCUACUUUCCCCUCCCCACUUCCGCGCAUGCGGCACCCUCUCUCGGUCACGUUCGGCUGGCGGCAGAAGCCAGCGGAGCCGUGGACUUGGGGCGCCACCCAUCAAGCUCCUAAUCCCCUAUCCCCCUUUCCCCAAUUCAAUAAAGUUAUUCUCUCUCUCACGAAGCUAUGAAAAGAGAACCAAAUAAGGAGACAAGGCUCCUCUUGAUGCCCAACCACGAGGUGUGUCGUCUUGCUCAGAUGCCCACGAUACAGGUCUUGCAGACGUUGAGCUAGUUGCAAACUGCAACAGUAUUGGUUAUUUUCAGAGCUGCAAUAAUAAAGGAAUUUAACGUGCCUUGCAUUAUUUGCAAAAUUAUAUACAAUUGCACGCAUACA
This is a long non-coding RNA of Dermacentor andersoni, 1816 nucleotides long. RefSeq lists it as uncharacterized. Lineage: Eukaryota; Metazoa; Arthropoda; Arachnida; Ixodida; Ixodidae. The record is from RefSeq and is a predicted model, not a curated record.